UAGGGAAUCUUCCGCAAUGGACGCAAGUCUGACGGAGCAACGCCGCGUGAGUGAAGAAGGAUUUCGGUUCGUAAAACUCUGUUGUUAGAGAAGAACAGCGCAUAGAGUAACUGUUAUGCGUGUGACGGUAUCUAACCAGAAAGCCACGGCUAACUACGUGCCAGCAGCCGCGGUAAUACGUAGGUGGCAAGCGUUGUCCGGAUUUAUUGGGCGUAAAGCGAGCGCAGGCGGUCAAUUAAGUCUGAUGUGAAAGCCCCCGGCUCAACCGGGGAGGGUCAUUGGAAUCUGGUUGACUUGAGUGCAGAAGAGGAGAGUGGACUUCCAUGUGUAGCGGUGAAUUGCGUAGAUAUAUGGAGGAACACCAGUGGCGAAGGCGACUCUCUGGUCUGUAACUGACGCUGAGGCUCGAAAGCGUGGGUAGCAAACAGG
This 429-nucleotide ribosomal RNA is filed under the name Bacteroidota bacterium. RNAcentral's name for it is "Bacteroidetes bacterium partial 16S ribosomal RNA". It matches the Rfam family "Bacterial small subunit ribosomal RNA", at positions 355 to 776 of the family's 1533-position model. The record is from RNAcentral. Lineage: Bacteria; Pseudomonadati; Bacteroidota.